CAGUAACUGUAGAAUCAUGUUUGGCAGUGCUGUCGAAAGUGUGCCCAUCAUUAUACCAGUAUGAUAAUGUGCCCACCCCUAUACCUUAUAUAGAUUUGAUGUUAUAAUUAUGUUCUCGUGCAAUAAUUAUUAUAGCUGCAGAUUAUAUAUAGUGUUAGGACGAUGAAUUAAAGUAAUAGUGUAUAGGACUCAGUCAAUAUUAUAUUGGAAAUUCCGAAUAGUGUAGGAAUAGUGUGGGGCAUGCAGGGUCAAUGAUAAUCAGUAUAGUAGAAGUGGUGGGUAUACAUGGGAGUGAACCCCUCAGAGUUUUUGGCACUCUGAAGUGGUUGACCAAUGGUUGCUAGCAUGCAAUGAUAAUCCUGCUAGUUCAUUUAUGGGAGGCUUAAGGAAGGAGCGAGUGCAUAUACAGACCGCCUUGUCGUCAGUGUUUUUCCACAGUAGCUGAAACAAAAGAAAAGAUCUCGACACUCAGAUGAAGUUGCUUACCUCAAAAACCCUUCAAUAGCCUUUUGUGAGCUCUAUACUGAUGCCCCCAAAAUGCACUAUCUGAUGCAUGCAUGCACCAAGACUGAUCAUUGAGUAAGUGUGCACAUGUAUACAUAUAUACUGUAUAUAGUGGGUAAUUAUAGUGGGUAAUUGUCGAUUUGGCGAAUGAAGGUGCAUGCAUGAGGGUCACCAAAAAUUAAAAAUCGCCAAUGCCCAGUAUAUCCCACGUGGUUAAUAAUGCCGUGCCGUAGUAUACUAUGGAGUGUCGUUUGUGUCAAAACACCAUGUGUAAAAACUGCAUGUCUAAUCCACGUCAUGCACUUCACUAUUUCACUAUAUCAGUGUCCCACUACUAUAAUUAAAGCGGUCUCACGUACCGGUCUCACGCUUUACUAAAUCGGUGUCCUGAUUUACUAAAUCGCUGUCCAGAUAUUUGUUCCCGCGCUGCGUGUUACUGCAGCCUUUUUAAUUGCGCAUGCUCAAAGAUUUGCAGUAUUAAAGGCAUUGAGUGUAUGCGAACUCACAAGGUUCAUAUAAUAUUAUAUAGGGCGCUGUUCCAUGCAACAUCGUCAAAUGAAAAUUGCCAAAUUUACCCGCUAUAAUUAUAUAUAAUUAUGGUGUAAAAUACUCUGCAUGUAUAUAAUGUAUACAUGCAUGCAUGCAUGCCUGCAUGAUAUAGUUAAGACAUGCACGCAUGUGCUUUUUGUGACAGUAUAUUAUUUUUAUAUCCUUGUAUAGUGUUAGUUGCAACUCCCUGCAUGCAUGCAUGGGGUAUCAAGUGGGGUAAAUGUAACCAUGCUCUUGUAUAUAGGUUUGGUCAGUGUAUAGCUAUAUAUAUUAGGCCAAACGUACGUUCAAACUCGUUCAGCAAUUACAGUUGGACUCUUGUUAAACGUCACCAGCUACUGCAGUGCUAUAUAUAUGUUCCAUCAUGGGGGAUUACUUUGGACAUGCAGGAGCGUCUGGAUGUUAGUCCAGGUGCAUGAUACCGGAGGGUAGAAUUCAGUGUAUCCAUACAAACCGAGUGAUUGGUCAAUAAUGAUUUUAUUGCCAGUUGCUAUAUGACAGCAAUAAAAAGGCAUACUGAGAACAAAGAGUAUAUACAUAAGUUAUAGAGUUGAGAAUGAAUUCUUAAUCUAGACUAUAUACAUGUUGGCUACUCAAGAGAGAUCAUGCAUGCAUGCCCCUGAAGGUGCCUCUCUGAUGAAAAGGGUCCUUUCUAAACAUCGAUAUAGUCUAUAUAACUCAUUCUAAAUGCGUUACUCAAGCUCUAUAUGCUGCAAUGACAAAGAAGUUUUAAAUUGCAGCUGCAUGUAUGGCCAUGGCAAGAAAAUAGAUUUUACGUAUGUAAACAAGUGAUAUAUACAUGAAAAGCAUGUGAAAAACAUACAUGCAUGCAUCAACAUCCCUAACCACAGGGAUCUGUGUAUAUAUGAUUCCCUAUACAUGCAUGUAUAUGAUUCCCUAUACAUGACGUAUAUAUCAUUCCUAUGUAAAAGCAGGUUCUGCAUGUAGCACAGUUAUAAACCACUGCAUAUAUACCUAACCACAUACCAACGGGCAAGAAUAACUGUGUGCAUGUGUAUACUCCCCGGGUGAUUCAGUAGCCUCACUGAGUAUAGGCCCGGAGUUGCAAAAAGAAGCUGUAGGUAAGUUGUUAUUACAUGACUGUGAAGACUAUACCUAUACAGCUGGCUGUUAUGUACUUAUGUACGUAAUACUAUCAAGGGCGUAUAAAAGAAGAGAGGGCAUGCAACUCCAAGAGCAGAAUUCAAACGUGGGCGGAUAAAUGUGCAUGACUGUGCAUGAAAUACUAAAAAUAGACAUUUCUAUUUUUAGCACUGCAUGCAAAUGCACACAUUCCUCCGCCCACGUUUGAACUCUGCUAGCUACGUGUACUGAUAGUGGAGUUGCAUGCCCUCUCUUCUUUUAUACGCCCUUGAUACUAUUAAUUAUCGGAAUUUUUAAUUUGUUAUGUAUAUUGUUGCACGACAAUUGUUCCUAUUAGAGCAAAUUGGAUAAGAGUGGAUGGUAAAAGCCAGCCGUCAUCCUUUAGAAACUUGAUCAAGACUGUCCAGUGUUCGUUCAAAUUGUUGAUAAUUAUUGUGGAAAACAACCCAUUUGCAAUUUAACUGCAUCCGUUUUGAUCGUCACUAUCAUGUUUUUAUACACUUACCAAUCCAUACACUCUUACAUAUUUAUCCCAUACAACCCCUUAUAUCAUCUGCAAGAGAACAGUUUGUGGACAGCACGCUGGUUAUAUAAUUACGUAGAACACUCAGUAGGUCCUAUAAAAUCAAAAUACUGUGCAUGUGAGCUUUGGUUGGUAUAUAUACAUGUGUAUAAAGGCAGAAUUGUUAUAAAACAGCUAUUAUAAUGAUAGCAUAUCAAAUUAGCAAGACCUUCCACAUAACUAUGUGUAAAAUACAUGUGAAUAGGGUUUUAGGUUAUCUGCGUCAAUUUAUAGGAAAUAUGGGACUGGAUGAAUUGCGAACUUUUCUGCGCUUCGUUACUGGCAGCUCGGUGUGUUCCUCUUCGAAAAUAUCUCUAGAAUUUAAUGCUCUUACCGGUUCUUCACGUAGACCCAUUGCCCUCACCUGUGCACCAUCCCUGAUUCUAUCCUCAACAUACCCUUCAUACCAAGUGUUUGUUUCUGAGUUCCGAGCUUGUUUGUCAAGCGAGUACUUGUGGAGAAUGGACAGCUAUUGACGUUUGCAAUAUUGAUAACACUGCAUGCAUGUCUGUCAAUGUUUUUUGGCCAUAAUUAUUACCUUUAUGACGAUGUUAUUGUAUUGUAAAGCAUUCAUCGCUGUGAUUUUUGUAUUACUGAGUGAUGUAGGUAUAUAGGUCCAAUAAAAAGCAUGCAAGCUUUGGUCCCAGGAGAAUUGUUAUAUAUAACACCUAUAACUUAUGAAUGCAAAAUUAGCAAGACCUUCUAUACAUGCAUGCAAGUAGUACAUGCAUGUGCUUGCAUUUGUCACAGUGAAGAUAUAAUUAUAUAGUUAUCUGCAUGAGCUUAUGAUUAUCAUGUUGCAAGCAUGCAUGUAAUAAUUAUGAUUGUUCCACAAAUGUUCCACGUUCAAAUGCUAUAUGAAUCAGUAGGUUGUACAUAGGAUUGUAGCAAUUUUUCACAUUGCAAAUGUUUUUCUAUCCGGAUUCAGGUAUAAUUGAAGACGGUGCCACAAGCCAAUGAGAAAUUUGACUCAGACUAACAAACAGCAUCUGUAAAACUAUAUGACAAUAUCUACCAAGUGUAUAUACAGUGGCUACGUACUUGCAACCUAUUCCAGUAUAAUAAUAAUA
Long non-coding RNA from Halichondria panicea, 3789 nucleotides. RefSeq lists it as uncharacterized. The record is from RefSeq and is a predicted model, not a curated record. NCBI's taxonomy places the organism in Eukaryota, Metazoa, Porifera, Demospongiae, Suberitida, Halichondriidae. The transcript has 2 exons.